Long non-coding RNA from Caretta caretta (loggerhead turtle), 2926 nucleotides. RefSeq lists it as uncharacterized. The record is from RefSeq and is a predicted model, not a curated record. Lineage: Eukaryota; Metazoa; Chordata; Testudines; Cheloniidae.
AGAGGCACUAGGAGCUGAGAGUGAGAACGCGGACUGUUGGAGGACUGAGGUGUACAAGCAUUAUCAGACACCAGGAGGAAGGUCCUGUGGGUUUCAGCUGUAUCCAGGCCAAUUCCAGAACAAAGAACAGAAACUGCAUCCACAGAGUCCAUAAAGUCGGCUAUUAUUGUCAUGAUUUGUAUUAUUCACUGGCCAUCAUCUGUGUGCUCAGCACUGUUCAGAAUAUGCCAGAAGAUGUAGUCCCUGAGCCAAUGUGUAUAAAAUGUGUAGCCCUGGAUAAGAUGGCUCAGACAUGUAAGUAUGAAGUGUAGAGUUAUUCAGCACACGUUAAUAUUGGUGAGUGGAGGCUCUGAUGGCAAUCGAAGUUUUACUGGAUUAAGGACUAGAAGAUUUGACCCUCCAACUUUCUUUCAAGAGGAAGAGCUGCCCAGAGCUUCUGUGCCUGUUUGUUUGCCUUUCCUGCCUGCAGUGGCCCUGAGAUACCUCAGAAGUCUCAGCUUUUUCUCAACUUUAAAAUAUAGAAUUUUCUUGGUGUUUGGUUUUAAAUAUUCUCCUGUGAGAACUGCAACUCCAGUCGCUGUCAUGUUGUGCUUAAGAGCCUUCUGGAAAGUCACGAGCCUUUCAACAGAAGGGAAAGCCGUGUUACCAACUCUCAUGAUUUUGUCAUGAGUCUCAUGAUAAUUAUGUUCCUUAAAGCCCCAGCUCCUGGAGUCAAGUGAUCUGUGAUGAUUUCAACCUUCAUUCUUAAAGAGAAAUGAAGUUUCUAGCCCUCCUGACUGUGGAGAAAGCAUCAAAAUGUGACUCCAGGGCACCCAAAAGGCUCAAACAGCAGAAGGCAAAUAAAAAGAUCCCCAAAUCUAUUAUUUUUACAUAAUCUCAUGAUUUUUGGUGAGCCUGACUCAUUGAUUUUUGAACAUUUGGGGUUGGCGACCCUGUGAAAGUCACCUUCACGCCUGUUUAAGGCCAGUUUCUAGUCUGUUAUUUGUAGUGGGGUAACACCCCUAGAGCCCCAGGCAGGUGCAGUUUAAACUCACUGGGCCUUGUUGCCCUAGUAGGAUGUUUCCAACAUUAAAUGAUCUAGUCCAAGCUUGAGGAACUGCAAAAAAGUGAUAGAAAGUUCUCUAGAUUUUUCUACAGUUGUUUCAGUUGCUGUAUUCCAGAGUUAGUAACAAAGAAUAUACAUUACAAUUUGAAGCCAAACCAGUGUCCCUUAAGUGACUUGACAUAAGAUGUGAAGAUGUUAGUAUUAGAGCUGAGUGGGUCUAAUAUUUAUUUAAUCUUCUUUUUUUAUAUAGGAAUUAGAUACAGUGCCCUAUCAGCUAAUUUAUAAUUUAUUUGCAAAAAAAACCUGGAGUUUUCAGGUGCCUAAGUAGCCCCUGGAAUCACGGUUAAAGUUGUCCCCCUUUCGCCCCCUCCCCCCAAAUCUGAAAUGGCGCCCCUGUUCCCGCCAUAUGCAAAAGCUGUAUAAGGUAGGGGAGUGAUAUCAUUCUAGGUUCUGCACUGACUGCCCACCCAAGGAUACUCCUGGAAACACCUGAGGAACAAAGUCUUAACUGGGGGAAGUGCUGGACCCAGGCUAAAGGGAUUUUUAGCCUGUGAAUGGAACACCUGGGAUUCUAAGCUGUAAGCAAGUGCAGCUUUCCCCUUAAGAAUCUGCAGCCCGCUUGUAUCAUCACUUAGGCACCUAAGGCAAGAUGGUUACAGACAGGCAGAGGAAUACAAGGAAACAAGACAAUAUUUGGUCAGCGUCAUCGACUGUGCUCUCAUCACACCUAGCAGCCUGAGUAUUGCCAAGUUUUUUAUGGGCAUCGUGGCAAAGGAGAGUUUUGAGGAGGGGUUUGAAGGCGGACAACUGUUUACACUGUGGAACCCAUGUAAUUAUAUAAAGCUAUUUUACCUGUGCUCAGUAUUUAGUGCUUCAUGAAAACUGAAAGGUGAUCAUCUUAAAUCCAUUUCUGCAACCCUUAUUCACAGGGAUAAUUCCAGAAGGCUAGCAACACUGGUCUUGUUCACAUUUCAAGAGGACUAGAGCAAAUAUUAGCUUGGAAGCAAACUAAAUAACGCAAUCAGACAUCAAAGCCUUAGCACCUUAGACUGGUGACACAUUGUAAACCUCCCAAGCUCUUGGGAAAGACAGAAUAUCCAAGGUUACCUGGACUGGAGAGGUGGGUGUGAUGCUGGCAGACCAGGUGCCAGCUCAUGCCAAUUUCCCAUGUCUCAAAUGAAGACUGACAAAUACACAGAGGGAAUCAGGCUGGCUCACCUGUGUGUUAGUGUUGUUAAAAUAGGUAUUAGGAUUGUAAGAAUGUGUUUAGUGUUUACACUUUACUGAAUGCCUCUGAGUUUCCUUAAUCUCAUUUUUAACAGCUGUGUCCCAUAUUGUAAGGUAACAUUUCAGCAUUUGUGUUGUGAGCCUCUGCGAUUGUGUAAAUCACCGACAGGAGAAAGACAGCUGGUCUUCAACAGAAGAUGUUAAGUCCUGACCAACAGGAAAGGUCCAUCAACACCAGAUGUACUACUGUGGGACGAUAAAGAGGACAAAAGACAUUUGUUGUUUUGCCCUUCCCCCUGUGAAGAGGAGUCGUGCAAGUGGAUUCCUCCCAACAGCUGAAUUUGCAGCUCAGAGCACCUGGGGGGAAGAGACUAGAAACCCCUAACAAAAAGGAACUGUGACUUUAUGCUGCUUGAACGAUGGAGGGCAAGGUUUACUAGGCAUAAGCAAGAGGUCCCCAGCUGUUAAACCUGGGUUAGCCCUAAAAGACAUAUAGAGUUUGUUUAUUACAGAAGUUCAUGUUACCUUUUGAAAUUUAAGAUUGUAACUCAUUUGUGUAUCUAUGUUCACCUGCUUUAACCCUGUAAAUAACUCUCUUGUUCCUUGUCCUAUUUAAUACAUCUUUAUAUAGUUUAUUAUAAGGUUGGCUACAAA